This 450-nucleotide long non-coding RNA is filed under the name Gossypium barbadense (sea-island cotton). RNAcentral's name for it is "long non-coding RNA (GBAR_LNC005695)". Lineage: Eukaryota; Viridiplantae; Streptophyta; Magnoliopsida; Malvales; Malvaceae. The record is from RNAcentral.
CCGUGCAACAGCAUCCGAUGGGGGGAUAAGCCAUUGGUGGUGGAGGACAAGGUUCUGGAACCUUUGGUGGUGGUGGUGGUGGUGGUUCUUUUGGUUUCUCAGGUUCCUUAGGCUUUUCGGGUUCUUUCGGCUUUUCGGGUUGUUUCGGUUUCUCGGGUUCUUUGGGUUUUUCGGGUUCUUUCGGCUUUUCGGGUUGUUUAGGUUUCUCGGGUUCUUUGGGUUUUUCGGGUUCUUUUGGUUUUUCUGGUGCUUUAGGCUUUUCGGGUUCUUUUGGUUUUUCUGGUACUUUAGGCUUCUCAGGUUCUUUGGGUUUUUCAGGUUCUUUGGGCUUUUCGGGUUCUUUAGGCUUCUCAGGCUCCUUGGGUUUGGGAGGAGGAGGUGGAGGUUUGAUCUCAAUGCUCUUGAUUGAUCCAGCACCCUUGCAACAUAUCUUGUCCCUCAGCUUCUCAG